RNAcentral lists this ribosomal RNA (254 nucleotides) under uncultured bacterium. RNAcentral's name for it is "partial 16S ribosomal RNA". It matches the Rfam family "Bacterial small subunit ribosomal RNA", at positions 524 to 776 of the family's 1533-position model. The record is from RNAcentral.
CACGUAGGGUGCGAGCGUUGUCCGGAAUUAUUGGGCGUAAAGAGCUCGUAGGCGGUGUGUCGCGUCGGCCGUGAAAACCUGCAGCUUAACUGUGGGCGUGCGGUUGAUACGGGCAUCACUGGAGUUCGGCAGGGGAGACUGGAAUUCCUGGUGUAGCGGUGAAAUGCGCAGAUAUCAGGAGGAACACCGGUGGCGAAGGCGGGUCUCUGGGCCGAUACUGACGCUGAGGAGCGAAAGCGUGGGGAGCAAACAGG